UUGUUUUUACCAGAAAUCUGGGAAUAUGGGAAGAAUGAGUUCAUGGAUGAGACGCGUUGACGAGGAAGACGGAGAUGGGGAAAGGUAUAAUCCAGCUGGGUGCAUGUGGAAGCGAUUCAUAUGUGCUCUGGACUACCAUCACUAGCACUAUAAUAAUGUCAGGAAGAAGCUUCUGCCCAGAGUGAUAAAUGAUAAGAACAAGACCAAAUCGAUUCACAAUGAUACUGGAAAAGCACAGAGACUUUUGGAGGAUGAAGAAACAUAUUUGCAGGUUAACCAGAACCCGAAAAAGC
This is a long non-coding RNA of Ipomoea nil (Japanese morning glory), 293 nucleotides long. RefSeq lists it as uncharacterized. Lineage: Eukaryota; Viridiplantae; Streptophyta; Magnoliopsida; Solanales; Convolvulaceae. The transcript is spliced from 3 exons. The record is from RefSeq and is a predicted model, not a curated record.